RNAcentral lists this transfer RNA (71 nucleotides) under Ictidomys tridecemlineatus (thirteen-lined ground squirrel). RNAcentral's name for it is "Spermophilus tridecemlineatus (thirteen-lined ground squirrel) tRNA". It matches the Rfam family "tRNA". From Rfam's summary of the family: Transfer RNA (tRNA) molecules are approximately 80 nucleotides in length. The record is from Rfam by way of RNAcentral. Lineage: Eukaryota; Metazoa; Chordata; Mammalia; Rodentia; Sciuridae.
GGGAUUGUGACUCAGUGGUAGAGUGCUUGCCUAGCAUGUAUGAGGCACUGAGUUCGAACUACUCAGCACCA